GACGAACGCUGGCGGCGUGCCUAAUACAUGCAAGUAGAACGCUGAAGGAGGAGCUUGCUUCUCCGGAUGAGUUGCGAACGGGUGAGUAACGCGUAGGUAACCUGCCUGGUAGCGGGGGAUAACUAUUGGAAACGAUAGCUAAUACCGCAUAAGAGUAGAUGUCGCAUGACAUUUGCUUAAAAGGUGCAACUGCACCACUACCAGAUGGACCUGCGUUGUAUUAGCUAGUUGGUGAGGUAACGGCUCACCAAGGCAACGAUACAUAGCCGACCUGAGAGGGUGAUCGGCCACACUGGGACUGAGACACGGCCCAGACUCCUACGGGAGGCAGCAGUAGGGAAUCUUCGGCAAUAGACGGAAGUCUGACCGAGCAACGCCGCGUGAGUGAAGAAGGGUUUCGGAUCGUAAAGCUCUGUUGUAAGAGAAGAACGAGUGUGAGAGUGGAAAGUUCACACUGUGACGGUAUCUUACCAGAAAGGGACGGCUAACUACGUG
RNAcentral lists this ribosomal RNA (495 nucleotides) under uncultured bacterium. RNAcentral's name for it is "partial 16S ribosomal RNA". It matches the Rfam family "Bacterial small subunit ribosomal RNA", at positions 28 to 507 of the family's 1533-position model. The record is from RNAcentral.